GAUGAAGAACGCAGCGAAAUGCGAUACGUAGUGUGAAUCGCAGAAUUCAGUGAAUCAUCGAAUCUUUGAACGCACAUUGCACCUCUCGGUAUUCCGGGAGGUAUGCCUGUUCGAGCGUCAUUUGUACCCUCAAGCUCUGCUUGGUGUUGGGUGUUUGUUCCGCCUCUGUGUGUGAACUCGCCUCAAAACAAUUGGCAGCCGGCGUACUUGUUUCGGAGCGCAGCACAUUUUGCGAUCCAGAUCAACGUACAGCGGCAUCCAAGAAGCCUUAUUUAACGCUCUUGACCUCGGAUCAGGUAGGGAUACCCGCUGAACUUAAGCAUAUCAAUAGCGGAGGA
Molecule: unclassified non-coding RNA, 338 nt
Filed under: soil metagenome
Description: partial contains 5.8S ribosomal RNA, internal transcribed spacer 2, and large subunit ribosomal RNA
Rfam family: 5.8S ribosomal RNA (bases 1-120)
Source: RNAcentral